Molecule: long non-coding RNA, 592 nt
Organism: Passer domesticus (house sparrow)
Lineage: Eukaryota; Metazoa; Chordata; Aves; Passeriformes; Passeridae
Exons: 3
Source: RefSeq, a predicted model, not a curated record
UUUGUUCCCCAGCCGUGGGGUCAGGCUAUAAUGACAACAAAGGCAGCCUGGGAUGCAGCCCAGGUCCUGAGAGCGGGGAUUACAUCCAGCUGGUUCCUCUCUCCGGUCAUUUAGGGCCGCGUACACACGAAGGUUCUGCCCUGCCCACUCAUCCUCCUGGAAACAGGAGCAGGUGGGAAGCUUGCUCGGAGCGCUACAUAGAGGCAGCAGGUUUGGGGUGAGGAGGAAUCGGCCGUAGCGCAAAGGGCCAUGUUUUCUUAAAAAAUUCCAGUUGGAUUUGCUGCAACCUGCCGUCUCUGCUAUGGCCCUACAGGGAGAAGAAGUGUAAUCAUUCAGCCUUAAAUGCACUGUAGCACACAUACCAGGAUCGUGCUUGUCUCUGGAUCCAGAAGAGUAGUAAGUCCUAGAGGUUUGUUUUACAUGGGGAGGGACCUCAGUCCUUCCAAAGGCAGUUGUUGCUGAAAGCUCCUGGUUCAGAGGUAUAUCAGAUAAAGUGCUGUGCACUCCCGAAGGCACCUCUGGCAAUAGCUCUGUCUUCUCCUGCUGUUUCAUUUAACUUUGUUGUUACAACUUUGCUUGUGCUUGAUAAACC